This is a long non-coding RNA of Empidonax traillii (willow flycatcher), 1506 nucleotides long. RefSeq lists it as uncharacterized. NCBI's taxonomy places the organism in Eukaryota, Metazoa, Chordata, Aves, Passeriformes, Tyrannidae. The transcript has 4 exons. The record is from RefSeq and is a predicted model, not a curated record.
GUGCUGCUGCUGUGGGAAGUCCUCGGCCGCCUCCCCACGUCCGGUGUGUCUCCAAAGGGGUCGGCAGCCUGGGCAGCGCCGGGAUCGGGGCCGGGCCCUGCAGAGCAGCCGUGCCCCAGCCUUUCACCGCGGCGCAGGUCACCACCUGCUCGAGGGAGGCAACACAGCCCUCCCUGCCGUGUUGGCCUUUGCUGAAAUUGAAGUGUCUCUUGGCUCCAAGCCAUGUGAAAGCUUUGAAGCAUGUGGGUUAUGGGCACUGGGUUUGGCCACCCCUUUAGUCGACAGUGUAAGAAAGAGCACUCGGUUCAGCACCGCAAGCUGUGCUGUUCCUCCUACACCAGUCAGAUCACGUCCAGUGCUCACACUGGUGCGUGGUGUAUAUAAAACCUCACGGAAAUUAAGAGGUCCUUCUACUGAGAGUCGUAAAAGGAACUCUGCUUAAUUCUGGGUCAGAUGACUGAUAAAUAUUAUCAAUGAGUAAGAUCUGCAAUUUGUCUAAAGGAAUAUGGACAAAAUCUUUAAAGAUUCAGCGGUGCUCAGUAUGUCAAAACACUUGAGCAGCUUGUAAGAUCAGAACCCAAAAGCCAAGCAAGGAUGCAGCCACCUGGGAGGCUGAUUAGGGCUUUCUAGGUUUGACUGAGAAGGGAACAGAACAAGGACACCUAAGAAAGAUUCUGAUUUCAGCCUGUUUAAAACUGGUUCACUGAUGUAAGUAAUCACAUCCUGCCCUCUGUUUCUGCAGGUACCUGAAACACUGGUCCAAAGAAAGAUUCUCAUCCAUGCCAUAUUUUGGAGGGUCAUGUAGCAACAGCAAUGAACACAUGACAGCCAAAAAAUUAAAAGGCAACACAGGUACCUGUUUGAAAGUACUCUUCAUCAUUUCAACACUCACCUUAUCCUAAUUUUCUCCAUCUCCUCCUCACUUUGGGUGAACUUUGUCUCACAAAAAGAUAAGAAAAAGAUUAUGCACCAAAUUAUUCAGCUGACUCCUGAUUCUGACACUCGGCAAGGAAAGUGGUAUGUAGAUGUUAUCUAUACAAGGUGAACUUUAUCUUGCCUUUCACCACCCAAUUUUAAAUAAAAUAUAUAUACUUAUAACAUUUCUGUUAAUGUUGCCCGUUUCACCUUGUUGUGGGGUUUUUUGUAUCUCUGAACUUCUUACAGUUUCCUAGAAUUUAUAGUUCCAGAGUAAUUUAGAUCAGUAGGAAAAAUAAACUGGUAGUGUUACUUUAAGUGCAUCCUUAUCAAUGAGAAACACAGCUCAGCGCUGAACUGUCAUAUCCAGCUUUACAGCAGCAGUGUACAUCAAAAGUUAGCCUGCUCUAUGUUAUAAAAAGUUUUUGGGGGAGAAAGAAGUCACAGUUCCUUGGGAUAUUUAUAGUAUUUAAGAAUGCUUUUAAGUAACUUGUAAUGGCAGAUGCCAUAGGGUACUCUGUCAUAAGUGGUUUUCCUAUUCAUAACAAGUAAUGCAUAUUAUGGUGCGUUUCAAGCCAGGCCCACAGUAAA